Molecule: ribosomal RNA, 482 nt
Filed under: uncultured bacterium
Lineage: Bacteria
Description: partial 16S ribosomal RNA
Rfam family: Bacterial small subunit ribosomal RNA
Source: RNAcentral
GAUGAACGCUAGCGGCAGGCCUAAUACAUGCAAGUCGAACGAGAUUAAGAGGCUUGCUUCUUAUGAAAGUGGCGCACGGGUGCGUAACGCGUAUGCAACCUACCUUAAUCAGGGGGAUAGCCCGAAGAAAUUCGGAUUAAGACCGCAUAAAAACACAGGAUAGCAUUAUCCAAUGUUCAAAUAUUUAUAGGAUUAAGAUGGGCAUGCGUGUCAUUAGCUAGUUGGCGGGGUAACGGCCCACCAAGGCGACGAUGACUAGGGGAUCUGAGAGGAUGACCCCCCACACUGGUACUGAGACACGGACCAGACUCCUACGGGAGGCAGCAGUAAGGAAUAUGGGUCAAUGGAGGGAACUCUGAACCAGCCAUGCCGCGUGCAGGAAGACAGCCCUCUGGGUCGUAAACUGCUUUUAUUCGGGAAUAAACCUUUCUACGUGUAGGAAGCUGAAUGUACCGAAGGAAUAAGGAUCGGCUAACUCCGUG